Long non-coding RNA from Bos taurus (domestic cattle), 854 nucleotides. The record is from Ensembl. Lineage: Eukaryota; Metazoa; Chordata; Mammalia; Artiodactyla; Bovidae.
AAGCAUCCUUUAUAGGCUCCGUGACCAGUUGAAAGGAAAAGGAAAAACCUGAAAUGAAACCCAGGUUUCUGGCUUGGAGAACUGAGUGAUUGACAGUGACCUUAACUGCAAUUGCCAAUAGAAGAGUUUUGAGCAUGCUGAAUAAGAAACGUCAUUGACCACUGGAAACAUAAGGUCCAGCAGGCCUAGCUUUCUGAUCUUGGCGGGAGUGCAUGUACGCAUGCUCAGUUAUGUCCGACUCUGCAACCCCAUGGACCAGGCUCCUCUGUGUCCAUGGAAUUUUCCAGGCAACAAUACUGAAGUGGGUUGCCAUUUCCUCCUCCAGGGGAUCUUCCUGACCCAGAGAUCAAACUUGCGUGCCCUCCGUCUCCUGCCUUGCCAGUCGUAUUCUUACCACUGCACUGCACCACCGGGAAGUUUGGGGAAGUCACUGAAUCUUGCCAGCCUCAGUUUCCUCAUCUGCAAAUGGUGAUUAUGAUAUUCUGUAGUUGUAGGACUGCUGAGAGGAUGGCAUAUGCGGAACCCCCAUAGUCAUCGCUGUCAUAAAAGUGAUGCACAGGAAAUAUUAAAUCUUUGGCAGUAUUGCAACCUUAACAAUCAUUUUCGUUGUAAGAUUAUGCAUUUGCCAGACAUGCUCCCUGGAAGGUCAAGGCUUUCUCUGAGACCGGUGGACUCGCAACGCUGUUGAGAGCACCAGGUGGUGGUGGCGCCCCCUAGGGGACCUUUGAUCAAGGGUUCUAUCAACUUCCCAGCGCUAAGUGAACAGCGAGUUGUGUUUCCAGUAUGUUUCUCUCCAUAGCAUGAUAACCUUACUGAAAUAGUAGUCUCUAUAGACUAAACACAAACAUGAGCAU